AUUUUCCUACCGUGGACUCUUCGGCAACCGUGGACCCUAUUGUUAUAGGUCCCAGAUUGAAGGCGUUUACACACUCAUUAAGACUGUUUUACCCCAUUUGUACACUGUUUUCUUGUCUAGGAAUGAACAGAAGGUUUGAAAAAAAUAGCGUGACAUGUUUUAUUUCGUCAUCAAAAGCAGUGAAAUAAGUCAAGUGUAUAAAACCAAUGGAAGAUGAGUUUCCACACUCCGUUUUUCUCCUUUAAUCUUGUUCUCAGUUGUGUGUACUAAAACACGCCCUUAUAAAGUCUUGAGUUUAUAGGCAUUGUCAAUGAGUAACAACACUUGUUACGUUGGCCAAUCGAUGUAGUCACCUGCCAUCUCAUCUUAUAGUGUCAGUUGAAGUCUGUCGCUACCUCAAAGCAAAACUUUAAAUGGGGGGGUGUUUUGCUGUGCUGUGUAGGACACUUCUCUACUUUGGAAACUUUUUUCUUCAGCUGUUUUGAUUAAAGGUCUUAUCAAAAUUUUAUGUAGGCCUAAAGGAAGUGGUUUUUUCUCUCGCUCUCUCUGGCAUGUUGACUUGUGAUGAGUGCAUUGAAACCGUGAGCACUUUUUUAAUCUGUGGAAAGUGUUGAUGUGACUCGUAAGUGAAAGUUUUAACAUGAUCUAAGGAAAUCAUGCCUUUUUUCAGAGGAAAGUUGUUCAAAAACGCAUUUGAUUAUGAUGUCCACGACCAAUGAUGUCCAAUCCAAAAAGAAAUAGCCGAAAGCGCAUGAACAUGCGUCCUUCACAGUGGCAAUAGAGGGCGGGCUAUAUGUGUCACGAGCACAGACUAGACGUGGACGUACCAAGACAGAAACGCUGAAUCAUAACAAACACAAAACGUGGACGGAAACUUCGAAAAGAUAAAUACAUCAAAGUGGUCAGCAUUGGGGAUGUGAUUCAAGACGAUUCCAACCAAUCACAAGUCUUCCAUAGCAUUGUUACCUCUCACCCUGCCUCCUCUUCAGCCCUUGUCCAUAUCCUCCCAGCAUCAUGGGUUUGGCCUCCUCCUUCAAGGGUUCCCCCUUGGUCCAGAUGGUCCUCUGUGUUACCUUCAUCAUCAGCGGUGUGCUGGUCAUUCUCAUGCAGUUAGCAGCAUUAGUUGUCAUCCGUCCAUUCAACAAGCGUCUCUAUCGGGUCAUUGUCUGUAACGUGGUGUACCUUCACUGGGGACAGCUAAUUUGGCUUUGUGACCAUUGGUCAGGAACAGAGGUUCGCAUCUUUGCCGACGAGGAGUUCCGGAAGAUUUGCGGAAAGGAGCACUGUGUUAUGAUUGCCAAUCACAGGAACGAUGUGGAUUGGCUAGCUAUCUGGGUGAUUGCUGAUAGAUUUGGUAUCUUGCAACAAGCCAAAUGCUUGAUGAAGAAUGAGCUGAAGUACGUCCCGUUGGUCGGUUGGUCAUUUGCAAUGCUUGAGAUGAUCUUUGUCAAGCGAGACUUUGCCCGGGACAAGGAGACGAUGAUUAACGGGUUCCGCAACUACAUUACCUAUCCCUUGAAAUGCAUGAUCUUGUUAUUCUGUGAAGGAACUCGCUUCACUCAAGAGAAGCAUACCAAGGGUUUAGCAUUUGCCAAAGAGAAAGGAUUGAAACAACUUAAGCAUCACCUCAUGCCUAGAACAAAAGGCUUUGUGGUUGCCAUGGAGGCAUUUGAUGGUCAAGUGCCUGCGGUAUACGACUUAACCUUUGGUGUCAGCCAAACUGAUUCCAAACCGACCUUAGUAAACCUGCUUAGAGGAAAGAAGUUUGUCUUCAAUUUUCAUGCUGUGAGGAUACCCAUUGCAGAUGUUCCCAAGACUGAAGAAGAACAAGUCAAGUUCAUUUAUAACCUCUAUGAGAAAAAGGAUGAGCUUUAUGAACAUUUUCUGGAGCAUGACACUUUCACUGGUUAUGACCACCGCUCAGGGUUUGUCAUGCCCAAGCGUUGGGGACCGUUGAUCGUGGAAGUGUUCUGGUUGUUGGUGCUUGGCCUUCCAACACUGUACCAACUGUUGAAAAUAUUGACAACAGGAUCGGCAGUUGCUACGGCAACAGCCCUGGGCAUUGUUGUGGUUUUGUACUUCUUAAUCAAGUACAUGAUAGGUGCCACUGUCACAGCAAAGGGGUCUGAGUAUGGUGGCAACAAACACCGAAACAAAAUCCAGAAUGGGAACAAUUCUACCUCCGAUGGGAAGAGUGACUGAAGACUGAGCUAAGAUAGCUGCGGAAUUCUAGAAUUGGUCCUUCUACCUGCAGUAGUUCUAGUGUUCAUCUGUAAAGGUCCUACAGCAUCCGUAGGACCUGUAAAGGUCUUACAGCGUCCGUAGGACCUAUAAAGGUCCUUCAGAUGCCCUACAACAUCCAUAGGAUCUGUAAAGGUCAGUUGAAUGCUAUUGUAAUGAGCACCACAUAAGUAGGUCAGUUUUAACAAGUAUCCCUUUUGCUCUCAUAUUAUGCACUCCUUUCGUUCCUAUAGCUUCCAUGAAGGAACUGCAGAUGUUGUGUAGACAGUAGACACAAGGCCCCUUUGUGUCUAAAUAGUUUGUGUGCACCUGUUGUAUAAUGUGCAUGUGAAUACUUUUCAACUGAAUGUACACAAAUUGUUUUCCUAGAAGAAAGCUGGGCAUGGAUACAGGACAGAAAUGGCACAGUGGUGUCAAUUGUAUUGGAAAUAUUAUUCAGUUUUACCUCACUUGGAUUGUACUUGUGUGUGGAAUGAAAACGCAGCAACCACGAUACUGACGAUUAUUGGUAGAGCCCUCAGUUCAUUAUGGUGGCAUUCCUUCCUACUGUCUAGUUAAAAGCCAUCCCAAGUUGUCAUUUCAAAUUUGAUUGAAAGGUUUUGAGUCGGUCUCACUGAUGGAUUCAUGUGGAAAUAAUAGAGAUACAACACAAGAGGGCAGUGUUCUGAUGAGGUCAAAGGUGACUAAACGAAUUUGCAGUUAAUAAAGUGUCAUUAGGGUAGGGCCUUAUGUUUGUUGUGAGAGGGGACAGAUGCUCCGUAAGUCAUGAACACUCUCUCUUUAGUCAUAAAUAUUGUAGAUCCUGCUAACCAGUAAGUUUUAAAAAGGAAGUGUAAACAAUAUGGCCGUGUCUGAGUAAGUUCACUGCAGCUUGGUGUUAUACACCAGUCUGUGGCUAUGGCUGCAGUCAGUUCCCAUAGAGUCGUGUAGUUUCAAGCCUUAGCCAAGUGAUUCAGUCACAGCCUAUUUACCCCAAGGCAAAAGGAGAAGCCAACUUGUUUCACAGAAUGGAAAGUUUUGUUUUGCACCAGACUAGUUUGAUAUUUGCCGUGCCAUAGCUGUGUGUAUGUAGAGUUUUCCGAUCAUUUUUAAGACUCGGAAUCUAUUCUGUGGGUCUUUUUAACCCCAGAUCCCACUUCCAUGUGCCUUCCGUUUUGGAGCUGAACUUGAAAAACAAUGCAGGUAUUGAGUUGCUGAUUUCAACAUUCUGUUUUUACCUUCAGUUGUCAAAGUUGUCAAAUGAGAGGUGAGAUGGGCAAGGUGAACUUUUUUUUAUAAGAUGAUGAGAGGUAUUUGACCCCUAGACUGAGGUCGAACCAUGCCUUUCUUGCAAGCAAAGAAAUUUUCACAGAUUAUUCUUUCUUUGUAAUGAAUUACAAAUGUUUCAUUCUUUGUAAUUAAUCGUAAACUCUUUCCCCAGCCACCGUUCCUUAAAACCCGACUCCAGCACUCUACUUUUUAGAGAGACAAUGAUGCUGAUUCCAUAAGAUUAGGUUAAUACAAAAAUGUAAAUGCUUUUAUGUUGAAGGCAGUGAUGUGAAUUUUGUGUUUUAUAUUCAAAUGGCAGCUGGUAAUUGAAGUGAGGAAAUUUGCCAUCCUUUUAUGAUGAUUUUAAUUCCAAUUUGCAAAUUUUAUGGAACCAAAGUACUCAAACUACAUAAUGUAUUAAAGAAGCGUAUCAAUAUGACAUAUGCAGUUUAGUUACAAUUGUGAAUACAUGUAUUUAUAUAAUAAAUGCUGCUAAUUUGCAUACUAUUAUAAUUUACUUUUAAGAUAAAUGUAUUAAUGAAAGGGAUUAUUUUGUGUGUUCAUUCAUACAUUAUUAAUUACUUCCCUCAAAGUUAUUUGUAUUUCAUAAAUGCUGCUGAUAUUGAACUAUGUACUGUAUGUAAUCCAGUGGUAUUAUGUUUGAUUAUGUUUGAUAAAUAAACAAAUCGCAGGAUUUAGUUAUUAAAGAUUUAUGAUGCUCCCCUUUUUGCUUUUAUACUUUGCAUUUUGGGAUGUAUAUAAUGCAAAAGGGUUUAAUGGUGUGCUUGACGAUGGAAAAGCUGUAGUCGUCUCGCGCAGAAUGUGACCAGCUGCCUAUGAAACUGCCCUCCUUGUUGGAAUUUUGCAAUUAACCUUUUUAUUUUUCUGAAGCCUAUUGCUAGGCCUAUUUGCUGCCCUCAAGUGGUUAUGCACAGAGUCGAUAAAGUGAACUUGUAGCACAGGUACUGACGGCACUCCUUGUAUUGCGGCGUACUUCAAAAUUUUACGUUAUCCCGAAAUCAUAUUUUGUAAUCCCAACCGUUCCUGUGAUGACAAUUGCUGAUUUUUUUUAAACAUCAGUUAAAUGUUAUGUUUUUAUUAGUAAACUUGUCCAUCGAUUUGUCUUCCAGAUCUGUUAUUAUGCCAAAUAAACUAACGUGUAUUGAGUACAAGUACCGUA
This is an unclassified non-coding RNA of Acanthaster planci (crown-of-thorns starfish), 4669 nucleotides long. The record is from RefSeq and is a predicted model, not a curated record. NCBI's taxonomy places the organism in Eukaryota, Metazoa, Echinodermata, Asteroidea, Valvatida, Acanthasteridae.